This 72-nucleotide small nucleolar RNA is filed under the name Dufourea novaeangliae. Lineage: Eukaryota; Metazoa; Arthropoda; Insecta; Hymenoptera; Halictidae. The record is from RNAcentral.
UCAAUAUGAUGAUAUUUUCAAUUGUCAGUUCUGCUACUGAGUUUUUUUUGAAGACAUUCCAUAUUCUGAUUU